Long non-coding RNA from Lagopus muta (rock ptarmigan), 1074 nucleotides. RefSeq lists it as uncharacterized. Lineage: Eukaryota; Metazoa; Chordata; Aves; Galliformes; Phasianidae. The transcript is spliced from 3 exons. The record is from RefSeq and is a predicted model, not a curated record.
AUUACGCCUGGGUCUGAACAGCACCACAGCCAUUGUAUCUGGCCAAGCCAAGCUGCUUAGCUCCAGCCCUUACCCACAUUUCUUCUGAAGCUUCAGGAGCACGGUGUUAUGACUUCCAGCAAUUUCACAAUGGACAAAUACUCGAUGUGCAAAAUCAUGAAGGCAAAGAGGCCACAUCCCUGCCGCCCCGGUGUCACACAGCCAUUCAGACAGAGGCUUUGAUUCUGUCGUGACGAGGAUGUUACUGCAUGUACUGCUUAGAAGAUUUCCAUUGCACAUCUCCUUCUUAGCUAAAACGUUACACACAGCCACCUAACAGAGACCUGGUCUUACAGCUCCUCCAAGGCUCCUCUAGUCUGCCCAAGCAGCUCGGGGAUUUUCUCGUAACCGGUCUGGUAUCUUUACCUCUCCCCAGGGAUAUAAUCUUAAAAUUAGGCCCCUUCCCUUUAUCUCAAGAACAGGAAGAAGCAUCCCACAGUGUAUUGACAGAAAUGCCAAUUUCAGUGUAUGUUCCACUGUGGCUGUGCAGAAUGGCUCUUUCUGCCAGUGGCUGCCCAGGAGAGCACACUGCUCCCUCACUGCCAGCUUUCCUCCCAGUGAGAAAACUGCAAAUCAAUGCACUGACAGCUCUCAUCAGUAAUUAGCAGCAGUGCUAUGAAAUACCAUGAGUUUAGCUGCAUGGAAAUGUUUCCUUUGGUAUGGAAAUACCAUAGAUGCCAUUCCUGCUUGUGGACAUGUGCACAGGUGGAAGCUGGGCCCGUGGCAGAGCUGGACAAGCAGCCACCCACCUAAACCCAAGCAAGACUUUCUGCCAUCCCAUCCACAGUGCCUCUAAGCUCGUGGCACGGAUAUGCCAUCCCAGAUUUCUUUCCCUAUGUGAAAAUAGAUGAGAAAUAUGAGAAAAAACACCCGCUUUGUUUUAGGAAAUGGUAGUAUCAUUUAUGAGCAAGCUUGGAGGGCUUGGAUUGAAAAGCUGAUUGACAAGGAGCUGAUCAGCCUCAUUUUACCACUACCAGAGAGCACAGGAGUUAAUAUUUCAGGCAUGAUCUGAGGUGGCAGCGGGUAGGCGAGGUG